RNAcentral lists this long non-coding RNA (981 nucleotides) under Phasianus colchicus (ring-necked pheasant). Its description in RNAcentral is "lncRNA (ENSPCLG00000010277.1)". Lineage: Eukaryota; Metazoa; Chordata; Aves; Galliformes; Phasianidae. The record is from RNAcentral.
AUGGAGCGCGAGACCCUAACCGAACGACAGCUCCAACUACCAAUGAAACGACGCACAGGAACCAGCCGCCCGUCCGGAAACUUGAGUGACUGCAGCUUGCACCAAUCCCGACAGAGCGCGGGCUCCGCCCCUUCUCCUCACAGCGGUUGCCAUGGCACCGAGCGCCCCAGGCCCACAGCGCAGGGCGAGGCCCGGGGCCUUUCGGCACCGCCGGCGUCUCCCCCGGGGACCUCGGGCUCCUCGGCAGCCACCGGCGAGGCCUGCGGUGCGGACGCGGCUCCCCGAGGCCCGGCCCGUGUUGGCACAGCGCUCCGCAGGUGGAAGGCCGAGGGCUGCGCUGCCCAGGCGGAACGAUCCCUGCCUGCGAUGCCUGCUUUGUUUUUGGGGGUGAGAACGGGCCCCUCCCCAUCUCACAGCGUCGGAGGCCUCACGCAGCAUCAGCUCGCACAGCUGCAGCAAAAAGACGACGACCUCAUCCUCACCUGCACCCCGCAGCCCUAUGGGACGUCCCGACAGAACCCUCAGCCGACAGCGGGCUGGAAAUUGAUCAAAGAAACGAACACGGAGCCGAACAUCCCUACCUGGGAGCAGUGCACGAAGCACGGGAUGAAGACCAGACGGGGUGGCAGCAAUGGAUCCAAGCAGCUCGGUGGCAUGGACUCGCUCUGCCCCAGCCUCACUAAUCUGCAAAACAACCAGCAAACACCUACGAAAGCUGGGGUGCGGCCCCAGCCCACGUCGUGCUGCAAGCCACAAUCCGAUGAGGUAAUGGUGGCAGGCAAGGAGGGCACAGCCUCACAGCAAGAGCACACCAAACCCUACAGCUGCUAUAGGCUCCCAGUGGGGCUGGAGAGCACGAGGACAACGCUGUGCCCUGUGGGGAACAGGAGUGCAUCAGAGAGGCUUGAAACCCCUCCUCGUGCCUCCCCAUGGGAUGGGGGUGGGCAGUGGGGGCCAAGGGUGCUGUCAGCAGCAACUUGA